Molecule: long non-coding RNA, 375 nt
Organism: Polypterus senegalus (gray bichir)
Lineage: Eukaryota; Metazoa; Chordata; Cladistia; Polypteriformes; Polypteridae
Exons: 3
Source: RefSeq, a predicted model, not a curated record
UGAGUAUUUUGUUGUUAUCUUGCCGUUUUGCAUAUUUUUUGGGGGUUUACUGUUGUUUUUUAUUAUUCUGUAAUUAUGUAAUGAGUGUCCAUUCCUUGUCUUAUGUGAGUAGAACCCCAAGAGGAUAGUUCACCCUGACAUCACACCUGAGGGACCACCCUCUGCCUUCUGAUGCAUCAGACUUAGGAUCACAUCAGGAUUCUUUAUUGUUCCCAUUUCUGGGCCUGUUAGGCUAAACGUCUGCCUGUAGAAGUCUGAGCUGCCUGCCUGGGACAAGACCUUAUCUGAGCAGGCCUUCAAGGUCCUGCUGCAGAGGAGCAUCUCCUCAGCAUAAUGCCCCCGAUGGUGGGGAUGGUGUCCAUCCAUCUAUUAUCC